This 846-nucleotide ribosomal RNA is filed under the name Scedosporium apiospermum. Its description in RNAcentral is "eukaryotic LSU rRNA". It matches the Rfam family "Eukaryotic large subunit ribosomal RNA", at positions 66 to 937 of the family's 3401-position model. Lineage: Eukaryota; Fungi; Ascomycota; Sordariomycetes; Microascales; Microascaceae. The record is from RNAcentral.
CAACAGGGAUUGCCUCAGUAACGGCGAGUGAAGCGGCAACAGCUCAAAUUUGAAAUCUGGCGGCCUCUGGGCCGUCCGAGUUGUAAUUUGAAGAGGAUGCUUUUGGCGAGGCGCCUUCCGAGUGCCCUGGAACGGGACGCCACAGAGGGUGAGAGCCCCGUAUGGUUGGACGCCGAGCCUCUGUAAAGCUCCUUCGACGAGUCGAGUAGUUUGGGAAUGCUGCUCAAAAUGGGAGGUAAACCCCUUCUAAAGCUAAAUACUGGCCAGAGACCGAUAGCGCACAAGUAGAGUGAUCGAAAGAUGAAAAGCACUUUGAAAAGAGAGUUAAAUAGCACGUGAAAUUGUUGAAAGGGAAGCGCUUGCGACCAGACUUGUGCCCGUCGAAUCAGCCGCCGCUCGCCGGCGGCGCACUUCGGCGGGCUCAGGCCAGCAUCAGUUCGCUGCAGGGGGAGAAAGGCGGCGGGAAUGUGGCUCUUCGGAGUGUUAUAGCCCGCCGCGCAAUACCCCUCGGCGGACUGAGGACCGCGCAUCUGCAAGGAUGCUGGCGUAAUGGUCGUCAGCGACCCGUCUUGAAACACGGACCAAGGAGUCGUCCUAAUAUGCGAGUGUUCGGGUGUAAAACCCCUGCGCGUAAUGAAAGUGAACGGAGGUGAGAGCUUCGGCGCAUCAUCGACCGAUCCUGAUGUUCUCGGAUGGAUUUGAGUAAGAGCAUAUUGGGCCGGACCCGAAAGAAGGUGAACUAUGCCUGUAUAGGGUAAAGCCAGAGGAAACUCUGGUGGAGGCUCGCAGCGGUUCUGACGUGCAAAUCGAUCGUCAAAUAUGGGCAUGGGGGCGAAAGACUAAUCG